GCGGGAAGAGCUCAAAUUUAUAAUCUGGCACCUUCGGUGUCCGAGUUGUAAUCUCUAGAAGUGUUUUCCGCGUUGGACCGCACACAAGUCUGUUGGAAUACAGCGGCAUAGUGGUGAAACCCCCGUAUAUGGUGCGGACGCCCAGCGCUUUGUGAUACACUUUCAAUGAGUCGAGUUGUUUGGGAAUGCAGCUCAAAUUGGGUGGUAAAUUCCAUCUAAAGCUAAAUAUUGGCGAGAGACCGAUAGCGAACAAGUACCGUGAGGGAAAGAUGAAAAGCACUUUGGAAAGAGAGUUAACAGUACGUGAAAUUGUUGGAAGGGAAACGCUUGAAGUCAGACUUGCUUGCCGGAGCUUGCUUCGGUUUGCAGGCCAGCAUCAGUUUUCCGGGGUGGAUAAUGACGGUUUGAAGGUAGCAGUCUCGGCUGUGUUAUAGCUUUCCGUUGGAUACAUCCUGGGGGACUGAGGAACGCAGCGUGCUUUUUGCGAAAGACUCGUCUUUUUCACGCUUAGGAUGCUGGUGGAAUGGCUUUAAACGACCCGUCUU
RNAcentral lists this ribosomal RNA (545 nucleotides) under Rhodotorula glutinis. Its description in RNAcentral is "eukaryotic LSU rRNA". It matches the Rfam family "Eukaryotic large subunit ribosomal RNA", at positions 98 to 655 of the family's 3401-position model. The record is from RNAcentral. Lineage: Eukaryota; Fungi; Basidiomycota; Microbotryomycetes; Sporidiobolales; Sporidiobolaceae.